AGGGAAUCUUCCGCAAUGGACGAAAGUCUGACGGAGCAACGCCGCGUGAGUGAUGAAGGUUUUCGGAUCGUAAAGCUCUGUUGCCAGGGAAGAACGUCUUCUGGAGUAACUGCCAGGAGAGUGACGGUACCUGAGAAGAAAGCCCCGGCUAACUACGUGCCAGCAGCCGCGGUAAUACGUAGGGGGCAAGCGUUGUCCGGAAUUAUUGGGCGUAAAGCGCGCGCAGGCGGCUGUUUAAGUCUGGUGGAUAAGCCUGGGGCUCAACUCCGGGUCGCACUGGAAACUGGACGGCUUGAGUGCAGAAGAGGAGAGUGGAAUUCCACGUGUAGCGGUGAAAUGCGUAGAGAUCGGGAGGAACACCAGUGGCGAAGGCGGCCUGCUGGGCUUUAACUGACGCUGAGGCACGAAAGCAUGGGUAGCAAAC
This 424-nucleotide ribosomal RNA is filed under the name uncultured bacterium. RNAcentral's name for it is "bacterial SSU rRNA". It matches the Rfam family "Bacterial small subunit ribosomal RNA", at positions 356 to 773 of the family's 1533-position model. The record is from RNAcentral.